UACAGAGGUGGCAAGCGUUGUUCGGAUUUAUUGGGCGUAAAGGGUCCGUAGGCGGCCUGAAAAGUUGGAUGUGAAAUCCCACAGCUUAACUGUGGAACUGCAUUCAAAACUUUCAGGCUCGAGUGUGAUAGGGGUAAAGGGAAUUCCCGGUGUAAGGGUGAAAUCUGCAGAGAUCGGGAGGAACACCAGUCGCGAAGGCGCUUUACUGGAUCACUACUGACGCUGAGGGACGAAAGCCAGGGGAGCAAACGGG
Molecule: ribosomal RNA, 253 nt
Filed under: uncultured bacterium
Lineage: Bacteria
Description: partial 16S ribosomal RNA
Rfam family: Bacterial small subunit ribosomal RNA
Source: RNAcentral